GGUCUAAGUGGGGGGAGUUCUUGGCCUGUUUUUGGGAUCAUUAUAGAGUUUUCUAAACUCGGAACCCAUGUGAACUUACCUUAAGGGUGCCUCGGCCGAAGUUAUGGGUCUUCUUAUAGCUGCUGCCGGUGGACCAUUAAACUCUUGUUAUUUUAUGUAAUCUGAGCGUCUUAUUUUAAUAAGUAAAAACUUUCAACAACGGAUCUCUUGGUUCUGGCAUCGAUGAAGAACGCAGCGAAGUGCGAUAAGUAAUGUGAAUUGCAGAAUUCAGUGAAUCAUCGAAUCUUUGAACGCACAUUGCGCCCAUUAGUAUUCUAGUGGGCAUGCCUGUUCGAGCGUCAUUUCAACCCUUAAGCCUAGCUUAGUGUUGGGAAUCUACUUCUCUUAGGAGUUGUAGUUCCUGAAAUACAACGGCGGAUUUGUAGUAUCCUCUGAGCGUAGUAAUUUUUUUCUCGCUUUUGUUAGGUGCUAUAACUCCCAGCCGCUAAACCCCCAAUUUUUUGUGGUUGACCUCGAAUCAGGUAGGAAUACCCGCUGAACUUAAGCAUAUCAAUAAGCGGA
This 561-nucleotide ribosomal RNA is filed under the name Pestalotiopsis sp. HBLA8. RNAcentral describes it as "eukaryotic LSU rRNA". The stretch from base 188 to 341 matches the Rfam family "5.8S ribosomal RNA". Lineage: Eukaryota; Fungi; Ascomycota; Sordariomycetes; Amphisphaeriales; Sporocadaceae. The record is from RNAcentral.